Molecule: ribosomal RNA, 305 nt
Filed under: uncultured bacterium
Lineage: Bacteria
Description: bacterial SSU rRNA
Rfam family: Bacterial small subunit ribosomal RNA
Source: RNAcentral
CCUACGGGGGGCAGCAGUGAGGAAUAUUGGUCAAUGGGCUUACGCCUGAACCAGCCAAGUCGCGUGAGGGAAGACUGCCCUAUGGGUUGUAAACCUCUUUUGUCAGGGAGCAAUUGGCGCUACGUGUAGCGUUAUCGAGAGUACCUGAAGAAAAAGCAUCGGCUAACUCCGUGCCAGCAGCCGCGGUAAUACGGAGGAUGCGAGCGUUAUCCGGAUUUAUUGGGUUUAAAGGGUGCGCAGGCGGAAGAUCAAGUCAGCGGUAAAAUUGAGAGGCUCAACCUCUUCGAGCCGUUGAAACUGGUUUU